Molecule: ribosomal RNA, 345 nt
Filed under: Escherichia coli
Lineage: Bacteria; Pseudomonadati; Pseudomonadota; Gammaproteobacteria; Enterobacterales; Enterobacteriaceae
Description: bacterial SSU rRNA
Rfam family: Bacterial small subunit ribosomal RNA
Source: RNAcentral
AAAUUGAAGAGUUUGAUCAUGGCUCAGAUUGAACGCUGGCGGCAGGCCUAACACAUGCAAGUCGAACGGUAACAGGAAGCAGCUUGCUGCUUUGCUGACGAGUGGCGGACGGGUGAGUAAUGUCUGGGAAACUGCCUGAUGGAGGGGGAUAACUACUGGAAACGGUAGCUAAUACCGCAUAACGUCGCAAGACCAAAGAGGGGGACCUUCGGGCCUCUUGCCAUCGGAUGUGCCCAGAUGGGAUUAGCUAGUAGGUGGGGUAAAGGCUCACCUAGGCGACGAUCCCUAGCUGGUCUGAGAGGAUGACCAGCCACACUGGAACUGAGACACGGUCCAGACUCCUAC